This 571-nucleotide precursor RNA is filed under the name Ornithoglossum viride (green slangkop). Its description in RNAcentral is "partial transfer RNA-Leu". The stretch from base 1 to 240 matches the Rfam family "Group I catalytic intron". Lineage: Eukaryota; Viridiplantae; Streptophyta; Magnoliopsida; Liliales; Colchicaceae. The record is from RNAcentral.
AUUGAGCCUUGGUAUGGAAACCUGCUAAGUGAUAACUUCCAAAUUCAGAGAAACCCUGGAAUUAAAAAUGGGCAAUCCUGAGCCAAAUCUUUAUGUUAAGAAAACAAAGGAUAGGUGCAGAGACUCAAUGGAAGCUGUUCUAACAAAUGGAAUUGACGUUGACUACGUUGCGUUGGUAGUUGGAAUCCCUCUAUCGAAAUUACAGAAAGGAUGACCCUAUAUGCGUAUAUAUACAUACUGACAUAUCAAACGAUUAAUCACAACUCGAAUCUGGAAUCCAUAUUAAUAACUAUAUAUUAUAGUUAUUAUUAUAUAUUUUCUUUAUAUUUAUAUUUUAAUAAAGAUAUAUUUUUUUAUAAAUUUAUAUAUUAAUUAAGAAUUAAGAGUUAUUUUAAAUAUAUUCCAGUCGAAGUUGAAGGAAGAAUCGAAUAUUCAGUGAUCAAAUCAUUCAUUCCGGAGUCGGAUAGAUCUUUUGAAAAAAAAAAUGAUUAAUCGGACGAGAAUAAAGAGAGAGUCCUGUUCUACGUGUCAAUACCGACAGCAAUGAAAUUUAUAGUAUUAGGAAGACUAA